UUUUUUUGUUAAAAUCAAAUGAAAGGGAAAAGUAAUUUUUUGGGGAAGUAAUGAGUAAUGAUGAGUUCCGUGGUAUAGCAAAGAGACCAGCCCAAAAUCGAUCAGUGAGAUUGGUAAAGUAAAAUUGCACUCUCCCUCCCACCAGCCCAAAACCCAAGACUUAUGCUCAUGAGAGCCACGAAAGGGCAAAGCUACAGAGGGACUGAGCAUUCGAAGACCAGCAAAGUGUAUGAGAAAAAAGGAUGAGUGGGGCUUGUAACUGGACUAUCUAGUGGACAAACUCUAAAAACAAACUAUGUUUAUCACAUAUUGAAUCUUACGAUUCUUAUCAUCUCACGAAUUGCUCCAAGAUCUAUUCAAACAUCUACAAAAUUUUACUCGGUUACUACAAUUGUAAAAGAACAAGAACCUGGACACUUUGUAUAGAGGAUUUAGUGACUGGAGAAAGAAGGGAUUUAGUGGCUAAAGAAAGGUGUGAGGGGAGCCUUGGACAAUUAGGGUCAGAGAUCUUACAACCAUAAAUUUAUUGCAAUUCAAUUAUGUAAAUGCAUGUGUAUUGAUUGAUAUCCUUCUCUAUGUUGCUCUGCUAUCCACACACGUUGCAUUCUAUUUAUGAGUUUGGCUCAUUUUUUUAGUUACUGUUUGGAAAUGCUUAUAGCAGCGAUAAACAUUCAUAAUGUCAUAUGUUUAUAUAUAUAUCCUUGAUUUGAAUGACGUUUUUUUAAUUUAGAACCAUAUUUGGAUAAAAUGAUAACUUGCACUAAGGUAAGAUAUCAUAUAUGUAUGGCUCUAUGUUUAGAUAUCUAAUAUGAUAUGUUAGGAUUUGUUGCAGAACUUUAUAUAUAUAUAUAUAUAUAUAUUUAUAGAUAGAUAGUCAUUGGUCAUUUUAGUGUUGCAGUACAUAAUUUUGAGUUCCAUGCUAUGCUUCUUUGAAAAGUUAUAUAAUUCUAUGAUCAAUAAUGAAACAAUUGCCAACAUGUGAUAAGAAACUUAAACUAGAAACCAAUUUGGCAUGAGCUUGUAAAAUUGUAAAUAAGUAGUGGAAACCAAGUUCUUUCCACUUCAUCUUCUUAGCUCUAAUUACAUGUUUCUUCUCUUAUUAGUAGAAUGUUAUUUUUCCCAUCUAAAUAUUCUUACUGUCAGUUUUAGGCCCUUUCCAGUCACUUUGAUCUUGUACACUACUAGUUGAGAAUUUAUGAAAGUUGAAUAUUACUUGGCUCGUUAUGGUAGUGUUCUAAAUAUAUUGGUAUUGUUGGAUUGAGUUGAAAUGGCUAAUGACUGACCUUUGACUCAAGUUUUUUUUAUGUGAUCUAUUCAUUAUAUGCACAAUAAUGACUUCACAUUGUCAUGCAGCUUGUUGUGAGAUAAUGAAAUUCAGUGUCCCCAAGCCUUGAGUGUUUGUCCUUUAUUUUUCUUUAUGCUUUAUAUCAAUUGAAUGUUGCAAUUCUCUGCAUUUGUGCACAAAAUUUUAUUUUUCUGCUAUAGUUAUUGAUUUUUUUUAGAAUUUUGAAUGCUUGUGAUGUAUUUUCAGGAAUGAUUGUUCUUGGAACUACAAAAAACAAUAAAAUGAAAAGAGCCUUCAAGAGGGAGCAUGAAAUGGACGUGUUCAGAUAUUGCUGCAAACUUCUUUUUAUAUGUAAAUACGAACUAAGAGUACAAUUUUUGAUGUCAUGUGUAGACUUCUGGAUGUGGUUACUUUUUGUAUUAUGUUUUAUAUUGAUUUUGUACUAAAUAUUUUAUUUAGUUUGCAUUUGGUUUAUCUAUUUUAUAAAAAUUAAUUUUGAAA
RNA transcript from Humulus lupulus (European hop), 1786 nucleotides. RefSeq lists it as uncharacterized. Lineage: Eukaryota; Viridiplantae; Streptophyta; Magnoliopsida; Rosales; Cannabaceae. The record is from RefSeq and is a predicted model, not a curated record. The transcript has 4 exons.